AUACGGAGGAUGCGAGCGUUAUCCGGAUUUAUUGGGUUUAAAGGGUGCGUAGGCUGUGCGUUAAGUCAGGGGUGAAAUGCCGUCGCUCAACGACGGAGCUGCCCUUGAUACUGGCGUGCUGGAGUACGGAUGCCGUUGGAGGAAUGAGUGGUGUAGCGGUGAAAUGCUUAGAUAUCACUCAGAACACCGAUUGCGAAGGCAUCUGACGAAUCCGUCACUGACGCUGAGGCACGAAAGCGUGGGGAUAGAACAGGAUUAGAUACCCUGGUAUUCCACGCCGUAAACGAUGAUGACUAACCGUCGGCGAUAGACAGCCGGUGGCCAAGCGAAAGCGAUAAGUCAUCCACCUGGGGAGUACGUCGGCAACGAUGAAACUUAAAUGAAUUGGCGGGG
This 393-nucleotide ribosomal RNA is filed under the name uncultured bacterium. RNAcentral describes it as "partial 16S ribosomal RNA". It matches the Rfam family "Bacterial small subunit ribosomal RNA", at positions 523 to 918 of the family's 1533-position model. The record is from RNAcentral.